CCGCCUGCAUGAAGUUGGAAUUGCUAGUAAUCGCGGAUCAGCAUGCCGCGGUGAAUACGUUCCCGGGGAUUGUACACACCGCCCGUCACACCAUGAGAGUCGGGAACACCCAAAGUCCGUAGUCUAACCGCAAGGAGGACGCGGCCUAAGGUGGGUUCGAUAAUUGGGGUGAAGUCGUAACAAGGUAUC
RNAcentral lists this ribosomal RNA (189 nucleotides) under uncultured bacterium. RNAcentral's name for it is "partial 16S ribosomal RNA". It matches the Rfam family "Bacterial small subunit ribosomal RNA", at positions 1312 to 1500 of the family's 1533-position model. The record is from RNAcentral.